CGGGACGGGUGAGUAACGCGUGAGCAACCUGCCUUCAGAGGGGGAUAACGUUCGGAAACGAACGCUAAUACCGCAUGAUAUUGUUGAGUCGCAUGACUUAAUAAUCAAAGGAGCAAUCCGCUGAAAGAUGGGCUCGCGUCCGAUUAGGUAGUUGGUGGGGCAACGCCCACCAAGCCGACGAUCGGUAGCCGGACUGAGAGGUUGAACGGCCANAUUGGGACUGAGACACGGCCCAGACUCCUACGGGAGGCAGCAG
RNAcentral lists this ribosomal RNA (256 nucleotides) under uncultured bacterium. Its description in RNAcentral is "partial 16S ribosomal RNA". It matches the Rfam family "Bacterial small subunit ribosomal RNA", at positions 98 to 354 of the family's 1533-position model. The record is from RNAcentral.